AGCGAACGCUGGCGGCAGGCUUAACACAUGCAAGUCGAACGGGCAUCUUCGGAUGUCAGUGGCAGACGGGUGAGUAACGCGUGGGAACGUACCCUUCGGUUCGGAAUAACUCAGGGAAACUUGAGCUAAUACCGGAUACGCCCUUUUGGGGAAAGGUUUACUGCCGGAGGAUCGGCCCGCGUCUGAUUCGUUUGGUGGUGGGGUAACGGCCUACCAAGGCGACGAUCAGUAGCUGGUCUGAGAGGAUGAUCAGCCACACUGAGACUGAGACACGGCCCAGACUCCUACGGGAGGCAGCAGUGGGGAAUAUUGGAAAAUGGGCGCAAGUCUGAUCCAGCCAGGCCGCGUGAGUGAUGAAGGCCUUAGGGUUGUAAAGCUCUUUUGUCCGGGACGAUAAUGACGGUACCGGAAGAAUAAGCCCCGGCUAACUUCGUG
Molecule: ribosomal RNA, 435 nt
Filed under: uncultured bacterium
Lineage: Bacteria
Description: partial 16S ribosomal RNA
Rfam family: Bacterial small subunit ribosomal RNA
Source: RNAcentral